AAAAAGGCUCUUUUCAGAGCCAUACAAAUUCAAUCGAAAUGAAAU
This is a regulatory RNA element of Lasius niger, 45 nucleotides long. It matches the Rfam family "Histone 3' UTR stem-loop". Rfam says of the family: The mRNAs of metazoan histone genes lack a poly-A tail. NCBI's taxonomy places the organism in Eukaryota, Metazoa, Arthropoda, Insecta, Hymenoptera, Formicidae. The record is from Rfam.